This 376-nucleotide ribosomal RNA is filed under the name uncultured bacterium. RNAcentral's name for it is "bacterial SSU rRNA". It matches the Rfam family "Bacterial small subunit ribosomal RNA", at positions 521 to 896 of the family's 1533-position model. The record is from RNAcentral.
UAAUACGAAGGGGGCUAGCGUUGCUCGGAAUGACUGGGCGUAAAGGGCGCGUAGGCGGACGAUAUAGUCAGAUGUGAAAUUCCCGGGCUCAACCUGGGGGCUGCAUUUGAUACGUAUUGUCUAGAGUGGGGAAGAGGGUCGUGGAAUUCCCAGUGUAGAGGUGAAAUUCGUAGAUAUUGGGAAGAACACCGGUGGCGAAGGCGGCGACCUGGUCCUUGACUGACGCUGAGGCGCGAAAGCGUGGGGAGCAAACAGGAUUAGAUACCCUGGUAGUCCACGCCGUAAACGAUGUGCGCUGGAUGUUGGGUGACCUAGUCACUCAGUGUCGCAGCUAACGCGAUAAGCGCACCGCCUGGGGAGUACGGCCGCAAGGUUG